Molecule: long non-coding RNA, 1184 nt
Organism: Symphalangus syndactylus (siamang)
Lineage: Eukaryota; Metazoa; Chordata; Mammalia; Primates; Hylobatidae
Source: RefSeq, a predicted model, not a curated record
GAUUGGUUUAUAAUGCUGAAGAACUGAAAAUAUCCAGCCACAGAAAAACCAUUUGGAAAAUUACAGAAUGUGCAUAUCUCCAGCACCUCCUCAUCCCCCAGGAAGCAUCACUGGGGCACAUUCACCAAAGAUAUGACAAUAUCAACUUGCCACUCCAAGCCUAUGCAGCCUAGCCUUUCAGGACUAUCUUCAGGAUUAAUUCCCAACUGGGUCCCUAGGUGACAGAAGCUACUAGCAGGGGCAUCCCUAAGAACAACAACACAACAUGAAUCUCCUGAAGAUACUCAGUAUGAGGAGUUGCUCAGAAUCAACUGAAUUGAUUGCUCUCAAACAAAGACAGGAGUGGUUACAGCAGCUCAGUCCCCCUGCAGCUGCCUGCCAAAGUAAAGCGUUUUUGAGAUCCCUAAGCAAGCUGGCAUAAGAAAAAAAGCAGGGCAUUGGACAAGAAAACAAAGCAGGAGACAGUACACACACCUGAAAGAAAUCAGAAGAAAUACAAAGUUUGCAAAGCCAAGGUUACCACGGAGGAAAUGCAGCAAUGUGUUUCUCUCAUUAGAUGAAAGCUUGAGUAUUUACCAGAAGUACAAAAUUCUCCAAGUUAAUUCAAAAAUAUUUCAUGUAAUUUUAAAAUAUAUCUUUCAAACCAGCCUCUCCUGACAGAUGUCUAGCUCAUGGGGUAGAAAAGCAUAUGGCAAAAUGUACAGAGUAGUUGGAUGUCUGUCAGGGCACCAGGGGAACUGUAACAGAACCUAAGGAGAUGUAAUCCCAGCACCUUGGGAGGCCGAGGCAGGAGAAUUGUGUAAGCCCAGGAGUUCGACACCAGCCUGGGCAAUAAAGUGAGACCCCAUCUCUACAAAAAAUAACAUAAUCAGCCAGGCAUGGUGGUGUGCGCCUGGAGACCCAGCUACUUGGGAGCUUGAGGGGAGAGCUCAAGGAUACAGGGAGCUAUGAUUGCACCACUGCACGCCAGCUGGGGCGACAGAACAAGACCCCGUCUCAAAAAAAAAAAAAAAAAACAGAACCCAAAUAGAAGCCUUCACUUCUCCUGAGUAGCACUCACACAACUGUAAUUUCUUAAGUAUUUGUCUCGUUUUAUAUAUGGUGUUUCCCCCAUUCAACUAAAGCUCCAGGUAGGCAAGGACAGUGAGUGUUUUUAAUAUUUCAGCAGCUGGGAAUGGUAGAUA